UUGACUCGCUUUGGCACAUAUACUAAAUUUGGAAUGAUACAGAGAUUAGCAUGGCCCCUGCGCCAAAUGUAGGAAGAAGAGCUAAACAGACACUUGCUCAAAGAAAAU
This 108-nucleotide small nuclear RNA is filed under the name Sorex araneus (European shrew). The record is from RNAcentral. Lineage: Eukaryota; Metazoa; Chordata; Mammalia; Eulipotyphla; Soricidae.